AAACACAAAUACAAAUUGCCAUGCUGACCAAAAUAUUCAGAUUACCAAAUCUGACUAGUGAUGUUUGUGCAGAUAACUAAACACAAUAAUGGCAGGAUCAGGAACUGUUUUCUCUUCUGCUUUGGAAGGGAUGAAUCAUGUUAAAUCCAAAUCCGGCGAGAUGCUUGCCAAACCUUUCUUGGAUGUGUGCAAACACUUGCUGCCUGUUUUAGACAAGUUUGGAGCUGCCUUUGCCCCUGUGAAAUCUGAUAUUGGUAAUAACAUAUCGAGGUUGGAUUCUAAGU
This is a non-coding RNA of Malus domestica (apple), 284 nucleotides long. Lineage: Eukaryota; Viridiplantae; Streptophyta; Magnoliopsida; Rosales; Rosaceae. The record is from RefSeq and is a predicted model, not a curated record.